Molecule: long non-coding RNA, 1980 nt
Organism: Zingiber officinale
Lineage: Eukaryota; Viridiplantae; Streptophyta; Magnoliopsida; Zingiberales; Zingiberaceae
Exons: 3
Source: RefSeq, a predicted model, not a curated record
GCCGUGCAGUAAGAGCAAGUUAUCUCCAAACCACGUAAACGAACGUGUUAGCGGUUUGCAUCUCUUCCUUUGUAUUUAGCUUUCAUAUUUGUAUUCGUGGUUAUAUUCUUUGUUUGCCGCUGUAUACUAACGAAUACAUAGGAAGCGAUCAAUUUUAGGGUACCGUCUAUCCAAUCCCCCUUCAAACUGGCCAUCGAUCACUCUAUAUGCCUUCCUUUCACUAUUCAAUGACAGAAGAAAACAAACAAUAAUGAUAUUUUUCUCUAUUUUUUUUUAGCAAUAAUGAUAAUAUGCUCUAAUUUUUUAUGGUUACAUAGGUAUAUAAUUUAUGGAAAAUUCUUUGUUCAUGACCAUUGAUCUUGGCACUAUGCAUGAAUUAGAAAUAAUGCAUGAAACACAUCUAAGAAGAUUAAAAUAUACAAUAUCCAAUUAAGAAAUAACUGCUCCAAUAAAGUAAUAUAUAAAAGAUAAUGACAAUUUACAAUUUGUCAUUGCAACUUAAUCCACUUGUUACGUUAUACAUAGUUUCUUGUUGUAGAUCAUUAUUUAUUAUUCUAAUUGUAGGGAAUAUAAAUCUUUUUUCUAAUAGAAACUUCAUUGUUUAUUAUAAACCAAAUAAUUUUCAUAAGUAGUAACUUAGCCUUGGUUAUUUUUUUGCUAUAGGUUAACUAAAAAAUGUUGAAAUCUGCUCUGAACAUGGACUUGUACACAAAAAUUGACUAUCUUAAAUAAGGUUUCAUUUAUUCUCUAGUAAUCAUAGCAUCUUGGAGCCACUAUUCUUGAUAAUUUAUUCUCUAGUAAUCAUAGCAUCUUGGAGCCACUAUUCUUGAUACUACCUUGGCUGUUUACAAUGUCAAGAUUGAUAAAAGGUGACUUUCUAGUAAUCCUAUGCCUCAAACUCUCUUUUAAGAAGGACUAUGAUUGCUUUUAUACAAUUUAUUAUAACGUAUUACAAUUUUGAUUCAAUUCAUCAUCUAUCAAUAUUUUGAUUACAAAAUGUGAUUUUUGUCUUCUUUGUGUGCAUUAGAUAACCAUUGUAUUAGAUGUAUUUUAUAUUAUCUUGUUUUACUCUCUUAUCAUGAUUUUACUUAAUGGUUGCAUGGUCAUAAUACAAGUAACUUAAUUUUACUAGAUGACUCCCUUUUGGUUGAUACCUCAAGAUAUCAGUAUCAAGCUUAGCGAGAUGGUGAAUUAGGAUCCUGUCUCUUUCUCAUUCAUUCACUUUGUUGAUCUUUUUUCAGAUUUAUCAAGAUGUGAAAAGUAUUGCUCUGUUAUUAGUUUUUCCAUUCUACUUAUAUGAAUCUGAUUAGUUAGCACAAAUUAAGUGAUUCUUUGGAUGAUACUAUCUAGCUUGAUGGGUUAGCAAACAAAAAAGCUUUUCUUUGAUUUCUCGAAACACAACUCCAACUGCUGAUGGACUAGUAAAAAUUGCAGGUUGAGACUAAAGAUGAUUAUCUUUUGUCCAUUCAACAUGUUCAUCAUGGGAAAAAUAACUUUGGGAGAAAGGCAUGUCCCUCCGGUUUUCUUCCAACAUGGUCUUUUUAGGGUGGAGAUACAUAGUUCAUGAAUUUAUUUAAGUAGUCGCUAGGUUUCAUCCUUGCAGAUAGUGGGUUUGAUGCUUGGGUUAGUAAUGUAUGCAGCACAAGAUGGAGCCAUGGCUAUACCAGUUUAUCUGUUCAUGAGAAGGCAUAUUGGAAUUGGGGUUGACAAGAAUCGGCACAGAAUGACUAGCAAGCUAUGAUAAGUUAUAGAUUUUCUAAACUAGUAACCUUUAUUGAUGUUUGUAGUUAUUAGAUUUAGAAUCUUAUUUAUCGUUUUACACUUUUCAUGCUAUGUGUUGAAACCAAAGAGGGGCUGAAAUGAAUUUGCAAAAAUUUAAGUGGUUACACCAGGAAGACUUUAUAUCAAUCUGUUAGGUAUACAAUUAUAUUUUCUAAUUUAUAGCAUAUAUGUUUAUUUGAGCAGGAGCCAUCAAGGGUA